Molecule: ribosomal RNA, 465 nt
Filed under: uncultured bacterium
Lineage: Bacteria
Description: bacterial SSU rRNA
Rfam family: Bacterial small subunit ribosomal RNA
Source: RNAcentral
CCUACGGGGUGCAGCAGUGGGGAAUAUUGCACAAUGGGCGCAAGCCUGAUGCAGCCAUGCCGCGUGUAUGAAGAAGGCCUUCGGGUUGUAAAGUACUUUCAGCGGGGAGGAAGGCGAUAAGGUUAAUAACCUUGUCGAUUGACGUCACCCGCAGAAGAAGCACCGGCUAACUCCGUGCCAGCAGCCGCGGUAAUACGGAGGGUGCAAGCGUUAAUCGGAAUUACUGGGCGUAAAGCGCACGCAGGCGGUCUGUCAAGUCGGAUGUGAAAUCCCCGGGCUCAACCUGGGAACUGCAUUCGAAACUGGCAGGCUAGAGUCUUGUAGAGGGGGGUAGAAUUCCAGGUGUAGCGGUGAAAUGCGUAGAGAUCUGGAGGAAUACCGGUGGCGAAGGCGGCCCCCUGGACAAAGACUGACGCUCAGGUGCGAAAGCGUGGGGAGCAAACAGGAUUAGAUACCCCUGUAGUC